CACUCCUUCUAACCACAAGUUUAUUAGAAAUCUUGAUUAUUAUUUGAUUGGGGCAAUGGCUAUAUGUUUGUAUUUCAAAAAUCGAUUAAAAAGUUCAUGAUUGGAAGAAGCCCAGUCUGUAAAUUUGAAUUAAUAUUAAUCCAGUUCUUAAAAUGGUUGGUAUACAAUGAGGGUGUUGUGUUUUCUCAUCUGCGACGGCAAAGAUGCAUGACCU
This 214-nucleotide long non-coding RNA is filed under the name Phaseolus vulgaris (common bean). RNAcentral describes it as "long non-coding RNA (PVUL_LNC004204)". Lineage: Eukaryota; Viridiplantae; Streptophyta; Magnoliopsida; Fabales; Fabaceae. The record is from RNAcentral.